This 331-nucleotide long non-coding RNA is filed under the name Triticum aestivum (bread wheat). RNAcentral's name for it is "long non-coding RNA (TAES_LNC027750)". The record is from RNAcentral. Lineage: Eukaryota; Viridiplantae; Streptophyta; Magnoliopsida; Poales; Poaceae.
AAGGUGAGGGAUCUCAGCCGUAUCUCUCCACGCGAGGGAUCUCCAUGCCCGAGGAGACUCGUGUCCCAGAUUUAAACCAGUACCAGGUAGAAUGUCCAGACAGUACAUGCAAGGGAUCUGAUCAGGUAGUCAUGUUUACAUUUUAAUGCAUUUACAGUGAUAUUACAUAUUAUCCUCUAACAGUUUUUGUUUACAAUGUUUCUAUGUGCAGGGCAUACCUGAUGUAAAUUGGAACGAUGAGUACACCCAACCUGGCGACAAUGUUAACGCAGUAGAUACGGAUUUCUUCAGAGAGGACGUUAUUGGCCCAUCUUUUAUCCCUGAGGAGUCA